RNAcentral lists this ribosomal RNA (547 nucleotides) under uncultured stramenopile. RNAcentral describes it as "SSU rRNA". It matches the Rfam family "Eukaryotic small subunit ribosomal RNA", at positions 564 to 1115 of the family's 1831-position model. The record is from RNAcentral.
GUGCCAGCGCCGCGGUAAUUCCAGCUCCAAUAGCGUAUACUAAAGUUGUUGCAGUUAAAAAGCUCGUAGUUGAAUUUCUGGUCUCGGACAUCGGUCUGCCUCGAACGAGGUACGUACCAGUUGUCUGAAUCCAUCCUCGGGGAAAACAUGUCUGGCAUUCAGUUGUUGGGCAUGGGAUCCUCGUCAUUUACUGUGAGCAAAAUAGAGUGUUCAAAGCAGGCUUAUGCCGUUGAAUACAUUAGCAUGGAAUAAUAAGAUAGGACCUUGGUCUAUUUUGUUGGUUUGUACUCCAAGGUAAUGAUUAAUAGGGAUAGUUGGGGGUAUUCGUAUUCAAUUGUCAGAGGUGAAAUUCUUGGAUUUAUGGAAGACGAACUACUGCGAAAGCAUUUACCAAGGGAUGUUUUCAUUAAUCAAGAACGAAAGUUAGGGGAUCGAAGAUGAUUAGAUACCAUCGUAGUCUUAACCAUAAACUAUGCCGACUAGGGAUUGGUGGACGUUUGUAACGACUCCAUCAGCACCUUAUGAGAAAUCAAAGUCUUUGGGUUCC